UACGAAGGGUGCAAGCGUUACUCGGAAUUACUGGGCGUAAAGCGUGCGUAGGCGGUUUGUUAAGUCCGUUGUGAAAGCCCUGGGCUCAACCUGGGAAUUGCAGUGGAUACUGGCGAGCUAGAGUGCGGUAGAGGAUGGUGGAAUUCCCGGUGUAGCGGUGAAAUGCGUAGAGAUCGGGAGGAACACCCAUGGCGAAGGCGGCCAUCUGGACCAGCACUGACGCUGAGGCACGAAAGCGUGGGGAGCAAACAGG
RNAcentral lists this ribosomal RNA (253 nucleotides) under uncultured bacterium. RNAcentral describes it as "partial 16S ribosomal RNA". It matches the Rfam family "Bacterial small subunit ribosomal RNA", at positions 524 to 776 of the family's 1533-position model. The record is from RNAcentral.